This 2803-nucleotide ribosomal RNA is filed under the name Klebsiella pneumoniae. Its description in RNAcentral is "bacterial LSU rRNA". It matches the Rfam family "Bacterial large subunit ribosomal RNA". Lineage: Bacteria; Pseudomonadati; Pseudomonadota; Gammaproteobacteria; Enterobacterales; Enterobacteriaceae. The record is from RNAcentral.
GGGUUGUGAGGUUAAGCGACUAAGCGUACACGGUGGAUGCCCUGGCAGUCAGAGGCGAUGAAGGACGUGCUAAUCUGCGAAAAGCGUCGGUAAGGUGAUAUGAACCGUUAUAACCGGCGAUGUCCGAAUGGGGAAACCCAGUGCAAUUCGUUGCACUAUCGUUAACUGAAUACAUAGGUUAACGAGGCGAACCGGGGGAACUGAAACAUCUAAGUACCCCGAGGAAAAGAAAUCAACCGAGAUUCCCCCAGUAGCGGCGAGCGAACGGGGAGCAGCCCAGAGUCUGAAUCAGCUUGUGUGUUAGUGGAACGGUCUGGAAAGUCCGACGGUACAGGGUGAUAGUCCCGUACACCAAAAUGCACAGGCUGUGAACUCGAAGAGUAGGGCGGGACACGUGGUAUCCUGUCUGAAUAUGGGGGGACCAUCCUCCAAGGCUAAAUACUCCUGACUGACCGAUAGUGAACCAGUACCGUGAGGGAAAGGCGAAAAGAACCCCGGCGAGGGGAGUGAAAAAGAACCUGAAACCGUGUACGUACAAGCAGUGGGAGCACCUUCGGGUGUGACUGCGUACCUUUUGUAUAAUGGGUCAGCGACUUAUAUUCUGUAGCAAGGUUAACCGUAUAGGGGAGCCGCAGGGAAACCGAGUCUUAACUGGGCGUUAAGUUGCAGGGUAUAGACCCGAAACCCGGUGAUCUAGCCAUGGGCAGGUUGAAGGUUGGGUAACACUAACUGGAGGACCGAACCGACUAAUGUUGAAAAAUUAGCGGAUGACUUGUGGCUGGGGGUGAAAGGCCAAUCAAACCGGGAGAUAGCUGGUUCUCCCCGAAAGCUAUUUAGGUAGCGCCUCGUGAACUCAUCUUCGGGGGUAGAGCACUGUUUCGGCUAGGGGGUCAUCCCGACUUACCAACCCGAUGCAAACUACGAAUACCGAAGAAUGUUAUCACGGGAGACACACGGCGGGUGCUAACGUCCGUCGUGAAGAGGGAAACAACCCAGACCGCCAGCUAAGGUCCCAAAGUCAUGGUUAAGUGGGAAACGAUGUGGGAAGGCACAGACAGCCAGGAUGUUGGCUUAGAAGCAGCCAUCAUUUAAAGAAAGCGUAAUAGCUCACUGGUCGAGUCGGCCUGCGCGGAAGAUGUAACGGGGCUAAACCAUGCACCGAAGCUGCGGCAGCGACACUAUGUGUUGUUGGGUAGGGGAGCGUUCUGUAAGCCUGCGAAGGUGUGCUGUGAGGCAUGCUGGAGGUAUCAGAAGUGCGAAUGCUGACAUAAGUAACGAUAAAGCGGGUGAAAAGCCCGCUCGCCGGAAGACCAAGGGUUCCUGUCCAACGUUAAUCGGGGCAGGGUGAGUCGACCCCUAAGGCGAGGCCGAAAGGCGUAGUCGAUGGGAAACAGGUUAAUAUUCCUGUACUUGGUGUUACUGCGAAGGGGGGACGGAGAAGGCUAUGUUAGCCGGGCGACGGUUGUCCCGGUUUAAGCAUGUAGGCUGGUUGUCCAGGCAAAUCCGGAUAAUCAAGGCUGAGGUGUGAUGACGAGGCACUACGGUGCUGAAGUAACAAAUGCCCUGCUUCCAGGAAAAGCCUCUAAGCAUCAGGUAACAUCAAAUCGUACCCCAAACCGACACAGGUGGUCAGGUAGAGAAUACCAAGGCGCUUGAGAGAACUCGGGUGAAGGAACUAGGCAAAAUGGUGCCGUAACUUCGGGAGAAGGCACGCUGGUGUGUAGGUGAAGUCCCUGCGGAUGGAGCUGAGACCAGUCGAAGAUACCAGCUGGCUGCAACUGUUUAUUAAAAACACAGCACUGUGCAAACACGAAAGUGGACGUAUACGGUGUGACGCCUGCCCGGUGCCGGAAGGUUAAUUGAUGGGGUUAUCCGUAAGGAGAAGCUCUUGAUCGAAGCCCCGGUAAACGGCGGCCGUAACUAUAACGGUCCUAAGGUAGCGAAAUUCCUUGUCGGGUAAGUUCCGACCUGCACGAAUGGCGUAAUGAUGGCCAGGCUGUCUCCACCCGAGACUCAGUGAAAUUGAACUCGCUGUGAAGAUGCAGUGUACCCGCGGCAAGACGGAAAGACCCCGUGAACCUUUACUAUAGCUUGACACUGAACAUUGAGCCUUGAUGUGUAGGAUAGGUGGGAGGCUUUGAAGCGUGGACGCCAGUCUGCGUGGAGCCAACCUUGAAAUACCACCCUUUAAUGUUUGAUGUUCUAACGUUGGCCCCUGACCGGGGUUGCGGACAGUGUCUGGUGGGUAGUUUGACUGGGGCGGUCUCCUCCCAAAGCGUAACGGAGGAGCACGAAGGUUAGCUAAUCCUGGUCGGACAUCAGGAGGUUAGUGCAAUGGCAUAAGCUAGCUUGACUGCGAGCGUGACGGCGCGAGCAGGUGCGAAAGCAGGUCAUAGUGAUCCGGUGGUUCUGAAUGGAAGGGCCAUCGCUCAACGGAUAAAAGGUACUCCGGGGAUAACAGGCUGAUACCGCCCAAGAGUUCAUAUCGACGGCGGUGUUUGGCACCUCGAUGUCGGCUCAUCACAUCCUGGGGCUGAAGUAGGUCCCAAGGGUAUGGCUGUUCGCCAUUUAAAGUGGUACGCGAGCUGGGUUUAGAACGUCGUGAGACAGUUCGGUCCCUAUCUGCCGUGGGCGCUGGAGAAUUGAGGGGGGCUGCUCCUAGUACGAGAGGACCGGAGUGGACGCAUCACUGGUGUUCGGGUUGUCAUGCCAAUGGCACUGCCCGGUAGCUAAAUGCGGAAGAGAUAAGUGCUGAAAGCAUCUAAGCACGAAACUUGCCCCGAGAUGAGUUCUCCCUGAGACU